Molecule: non-coding RNA, 119 nt
Organism: Niastella populi
Lineage: Bacteria; Pseudomonadati; Bacteroidota; Chitinophagia; Chitinophagales; Chitinophagaceae
Source: Rfam
GGAGGCAGGCCCUCCGGUGGCGACUGGCAAGAGUAGCCACCAAACAACCCUAAGCUGCAUAGGUCAAAAGCCUGUGUGGUGAGCGUUAGGGAAAAGGCCGCCGGUAAACCGGGGUCAUG